RNAcentral lists this long non-coding RNA (4078 nucleotides) under Mytilus galloprovincialis (Mediterranean mussel). The record is from RNAcentral. Lineage: Eukaryota; Metazoa; Mollusca; Bivalvia; Mytilida; Mytilidae.
CCAAGUCAGGAAUAUGACAGUUGGUGUUCAUUGGUUUGGUAUGGUCACUAUUUUCUAUUGUACAUAAAUUACUAACUUCAUUAAUGUUCAAUUAUUGACUCUUUUUAUUAUUAAUUUUAGGAGGAUUUCCAAACUUGUGGAAUAAUCGCACAACAUCAGAAGAAAAAGUUUGGCGACUUUUAUAAACAGGUAAAUUCGAUUGACUGUUAGAAAAAAGCAAUAUAUCAAGAUCAAGAUUAUCAACUGUACAUGCAUUCUAUCUAAUAUAACGGCACUAUUAAAUGUGGUUUAAUUUUGCUGAAAACCAAAUAAAAAAGGUAUGCACGCAAAACGGUCUUAUCCAAAAGCAAUUACAAAUGAAUUGAUUUUUUUUUCUUCUACUGCAAGGAGAGUCUUUAAAAAGUCGAAACAAGUGACAAAGUAUAAUAAAAAAGAAUAAGUAAAGACUUUUAUCAAAAGACGCUUUCAACAAACAUCAUAAAAUUGAGAAUGGAAAUGGGGAAUGUGUCAAAGAGACAACAACCCGACUAAACAAAAAACAACAGCAGAGGGUCACCAACAGGUCUUCAAUGUAGCGAGAAAUUUCCGCACCCGGAGGCGUCCUUCAGCUGGCCCCUAAACAAAUAUAUACUAGUCCAGUGAUAAUGAACGCCAUACUAAUUUCCAAAUUGUACACAAGAAACUAAAAUUAAAAUAAUACAAGACUAACAAAGGCCAGAGGCUCCUGACUUGGGACAGGCGCAAAAAUGCGGCGGGGUUAAACAUGUUUGUGAGAUCUCAACCCUCCCCCUAUACCUCUAACCAAUGUAGAAAAGUAAAAUGGUAAGUUCAUAGUUCAGACAAUUAGUCGUAAACGCAUUCAAUCAAAUAUAUCUGAGUUCAAGAUUACUGAUUAUUUUUGUAAAAAAAUCUAAAUGAACUUAAACAAACUAAGUGUACACUUAUAAAGUGUUCUUUAUUCUUUUGUGUGCAUUGACGUCAAACAUUUGCUAUUUUGAAAUAAAAAAUACAUUUUGCAAAUUACUCUGCAAUUUUUUAAGUUCAUUGUUUGGAAAUAUGUAACAAUCAUCUUUUGACAUCAACUCAUAAAAAUCUUUUCUUGAAUGCGAUUUGAAAUUUGUAAUAUUCGUGAGAUUACACAUUUUGAUUUCAUGAGGAUAUUUAAAAAAAAAAUAAGUUUGUGUUAAAAUGAGUUAAUUUUUCAACAGUUUAUAUAAAUAAAACAUUUGUAUAUGCUUGUUUAAGAAAAAAAUAUAUUUUAAUUUCAUUGUAAAAAGUAUAUAUUAAAAUUGCUGACCUUAAGCAUUUUUUGAUUUGACUUUACAUAUUGAAAAUGAAAAAUGCUCCAACGUGGAGCAUUUUUCAAUUUGACAUCAAAUAUUGAAAAAUGAAAAAUGCUCCAAUAUGGAGCAUUUUAUAUUUUAUAUUUUGACAUUAUAAAUUGAAAAAAGAAAACUUAUUCCGAACAUGAGUAGUAUUUAUAUAUUAUAUAUAUGAUAACAUUGAGAAUAGAAAUAGGUAAUGCGCAAAAGAGACAGAGAAUAGACAGACAGCAAAUGUGCCAAACAGCCAAAGCAGCAACAAAAGAGACAGCAAUUCGACCAAAGUGCAGACAACAGCCAAAGGCCACCAAUGAAUCUUUAAUAAACCUCUAGUCAACAAACACACAUCAAUGCGCACAGUAAUGCUCAUUUCAAAAGAAGUCCGAGUUCGAUGUCAGAACAAGUAAUGUAGUAUAUGUAUUUGAUUUUAACGACAUCAAUCUCUGUAUUACUAAAAUAUAUUACACCAUGGUUUUCUGUAUCGCAAACUAGUCAUUACAUUCACUCAAUGGUAUCAACGGUACAAUGACACCAUUCGCUAGAAAAAAAUACAAAUCAACACACAGACAUGUUAUAUGUUCAGAUCUACACAUCAAAUCUUAUUCUGUAACGGUAAUAUUCUAUACAAAACACAAAUAUGUCGGCAUUCACCUCAAAACCUAACCAAACAGGCUUAUUCAAAAGGGAUACAGUUACGAUACUGUCCAUAAGAAUGGCAUAUUUUAGUAUGAAUAUUUAUUUACUCAAUGACAUAUGGUUUUUGCAUUGUAAAUAAACAAAUUUAUUAUAAAACAAGUUGUUGGCAUAAAACGGUUUAUGUUCUUUUCACAUAUUUUAUGAUGAUAUCAUACAAAAACCCCGAAUGAGAGAGAUUAUGCUAGAAAUUCAGUUGAUGAAGACAUUAUCUUUCAAUCAGAUUAAUUUAUGUCUGGAACGGGCAUUUCAGUAAUUGAUAGUAGUCCGUUGUUAAUGUAUGUAUGUAUCAUUGUCAUUUAGCUUAGUUUUGAAAUAUAUUAGGCCCGAAACCACAAUUAAUUCCUUUAUCAUUUCUUUAUAACGUUUUGUCGCAUUAAAAACAAAUCUAUUUUUUUUUGUUUUGUGUGUGUGUGUGUAAUGCACAGUACGUCAAAACAAAAAUAUCAAGUAUACAUCAUACACAUUUGGUAAAUACAUAUCCAUACCCCUUAGGCAAUUCAAGAGAUGUUCCGAAAAGUGUAAUUAUACCCUUUUUGUACCUGGCCUAAUCACUAUUUCCAUAUAAACAUCAGUUAAAAUGAAAAAUCCAAAAGUUUUAUUUAAGCUCUCUUCUAUCAUUUCCACCCCAGAAAAACUAAGAAAUCUGAGGAAGGGAAAGAAAAAAAUAAAGACAAAAUACACUAUUAUUAAAGGGAACUAUAUUCGUAGACAACGAAAAGCGGGAUCAUUAAUUGUGGUUUUGGGCCAAUAAGAUAUCUGACUCUGAGUUUUACUGUGCGUGAUUUCGUGUCUAUGUUUAUUCUUCAUUGUUUAGAGGUGUUAGAUGGUCUAACAAUACAUAUGUAUGUCCAAGUCAGGAGCCUCCGUCUUUUGUUAGUCUUGUUUAUGUGUUGUCAAUUGAAUUAAUUGUUUUCUAAAUAUUGGACUUGUGUGUAACUUCUAUUUUCAAUGCAUACGUACACAUGUUAAGGGGUCAGCUGCAUGAAGCCCGCCUUCGGUCGCAGAAAUUUCCCGCUGUGUUGAAGACCGAUUGGUGAUCUUGAGCUCUUUUUUGCCUUUUGAUCGGGUUGUUGCCUUUGUUACACGUUCCACAUUACCAUUCUUAAUGUUAUCAUACACAUUUAAGGAUAAUUGUCAUGUUCCAGACACGUGUAGGUAUUCAGUCGUGUGUUCUGCGGGUAAACUAAUUAAUAAAAAUUCACAUCUUUUUGGUCAUAAUUGUACCUUUUAGUAUAUUUCUCAUGUUCAAAAUUAGGUGAUACACACAUAGUGCACACGUAUACAUAAUUAACAAGUUCUUCAAGAUGUUUUAAAAUACUGUCGACAAUUUGAAUAUUUAAAACACAUAUAUUAAAACAAAUUUCAUUUCAUUCUAGAUCUACUCAUUAAAAAUUAAAAAAAUAUGCAGUUUUGAUCAUCCUUUUAAAUUUUUAUAUUGCGAAAUAAUUUCAAUUCAAAAUGAAACAUGCAUUUUUUCAUUUUUCAACAUUUUAAAGUCAAAUUACAAAAAUACUUAAUGUCAGCAAUUCCAAUUUUUCUUCUGAAAUGAACUUAUAUUAUUUUUCCUUUCUAAAACAAGCAUCUGCAAAUCAUUUGAUGUAUUCAAACUGUUGAAAUUUUAUCUUUUUUUAAUAUCCUCGUGAAAUCAAAAAAAAAAAAAUUCCAUAUAGAUAACAAAUUUUAAAUAUCAUUAAGAAAAUGAUUUUUCAAAAGUCACUUCAAAAGAGUUUUGCCUUAUGUUUAAAGUGUGAAGAGCAAUUUGCUAUAUUCAUUUUUUUCUGUUAAAAAUGCCAUUUUUUGGCGUAAAUAUACACGGUCUUCUGUUGUACAUUGAUUACCUAUAGUACUUCAUUUAUUUAUUAUUCAAUUAUUGACUAUUUUUUAUUAUUAAUUUCAGGAGAAUUUCUCAACUUGUGGAAUAAUCUUUAAACAGAAGAACAAAAACUUUCGGCGACUUUUACAAGGUUUGGACCUACUUAAAAAAAAAACUUCAAGCCGAACAAAACCCUGGAUUUUUUGUCAAGUAGAUAGCUACGAAGCUUCCCUUUUCAUCUAGUACG